UAGGUUAGCCAGAAAGUUUGUUUGGGUUUUUCAUAAUAUCAUAUGGAAAAUCCCAGACAAACUUAUAGGCCAACCCAAU
This 79-nucleotide microRNA precursor is filed under the name Ovis aries (sheep). Its description in RNAcentral is "miRNA (ENSOARG00000021334.1)". The record is from RNAcentral. Lineage: Eukaryota; Metazoa; Chordata; Mammalia; Artiodactyla; Bovidae.